GACAGAGGCCUCGAGCGUUAGGCGGAAUCACUGGGCUUAAAGCGUGUGUAGGCGGAGUCGUUAAGUGCCGUUAUCGAAAUCCGACGGCAUCACCGUGGAAACUGCUUGGCAUACUGGCGGUCUUGAGCAACCUAGGGGCGAGCGGAACAAAUGGUGGAGCGGUGAAAUGCGUAGAUAUCAUUUGGAACGCCAAUGGUGAAAACAGCUCGCUGGGGGUUUGCUGACGCUGAGACACGAAAGCCAGGGGAGCAAACGGGAUU
This 260-nucleotide ribosomal RNA is filed under the name uncultured bacterium. Its description in RNAcentral is "partial 16S ribosomal RNA". It matches the Rfam family "Bacterial small subunit ribosomal RNA", at positions 524 to 779 of the family's 1533-position model. The record is from RNAcentral.